AUACGGAGGGUGCGAGCGUUAAUCGGAAUUACUGGGCGUAAAGCGUACGUAGGCGGUUGGUUAAGUUAGAUGUGAAAGCCCCGAGCUUAACCUGGGAACUGCAUUUAAAACUGGCGAACUAGAGUUGAGUAGAGGGGAGUGGAAUUUCAGGUGUAGCGGUGAAAUGCGUAGAGAUCUGAAGGAACACCAGUGGCGAAGGCGACUCCCUGGACUCGAACUGACGCUGAGGUACGAAAGCGUGGGUAGCAAACGGGAUUAGAAACCCCAGUAGUCC
Molecule: ribosomal RNA, 274 nt
Filed under: uncultured bacterium
Lineage: Bacteria
Description: partial 16S ribosomal RNA
Rfam family: Bacterial small subunit ribosomal RNA
Source: RNAcentral